GUGGGAAUAUGCAGCAAUGGCAGCCAGCUGAUGCAGCCAUGCCGCGUGUAUGAAGAAGGCCUUCGGGUUGUAAAGUACUUUCAGCGAGGAGGAAGGCGUUGUGGUUAAUAACCGCAACGAUUGACGUUACUCGCAGAAGAAGCACCGGCUAACUCCGUGCCAGCAGCCGCGGUAAUACGGAGGGUGCAAGCGUUAAUCGGAAUUACUGGGCGUAAAGCGCACGCAGGCGGUCUGUCAAGUCGGAUGUGAAAUCCCCGGGCUCAACCUGGGAACUGCAUUCGAAACUGGCAGGCUAGAGUCUUGUAGAGGGGGGUAGAAUUCCAGGUGUAGCGGUGAAAUGCGUAGAGAUCUGGAGGAAUACCGGUGGCGAAGGCGGCCCCCUGGACAAAGACUGACGCUCAGGUGCGAAAGCGUGGGGAGCAAACA
Molecule: ribosomal RNA, 426 nt
Filed under: uncultured Enterobacteriaceae bacterium
Lineage: Bacteria; Pseudomonadati; Pseudomonadota; Gammaproteobacteria; Enterobacterales; Enterobacteriaceae
Description: bacterial SSU rRNA
Rfam family: Bacterial small subunit ribosomal RNA
Source: RNAcentral